CUAAGAAUAUUCCGCAAUGGGCGAAAGCCUGACGGAGCGACGCCGCGUGGAUGAAGAAGGCCGAAAGGUUGUAAAAUUCUUUUGCGGAUGAAGAAUAAGCGGCGGAGGGAAUGCCGUCGCGAUGACGCAAGUCCGCGAAUAAGCCCCGGCUAAUUACGUGCCAGCAGCCGCGGUAACACGUAAGGGGCGAGCGUUGUUCGGAAUUAUUGGGCGUAAAGGGCGCGUAGGCGGUUAGUCAAGUCUGACGUGAAAUGCAUGAGCUUAACUCAUGAACUGCGUUGGAAACUGAAAAACUAGAGUCACGGAGGGGGAAUCGGAAUUCCUGGUGUAGGGGUGAAAUCUGUAGAUAUCAGGAAGAACACCGGUGGCGAAGGCGGAUUUCCAGCCGAUGACAGACGCUGAGGCGCGAAAGUGCGGGGAGCAAACAGGAUUAGAUACCCUGGUAGUCCGCACUAUAAACGAUGCACACUAGGUGUCGGG
This 480-nucleotide ribosomal RNA is filed under the name uncultured bacterium. Its description in RNAcentral is "bacterial SSU rRNA". It matches the Rfam family "Bacterial small subunit ribosomal RNA", at positions 355 to 827 of the family's 1533-position model. The record is from RNAcentral.